GACGAACGCUGGCGGCGUGCCUAAUACAUGCAAGUAGAACGCACAGUUUAUACCGUAGCUUGCUACACCAUAAACUGUGAGUUGCGAACGGGUGAGUAACGCGUAGGUAACCUGCCUGGUAGCGGGGGAUAACUAUUGGAAACGAUAGCUAAUACCGCAUAAUAUUAAUUAUUGCAUGAUAAUUGAUUGAAAGAUGCAAUUGCAUCACUACCAGAUGGACCUGCGUUGUAUUAGCUAGUAGGUGAGGUAACGGCUCACCUAGGCGACGAUACAUAGCCGACCUGAGAGGGUGAUCGGCCACACUGGGACUGAGACACGGCCCAGACUCCUACGGGAGGCAGCAGGAGGGAAUCUUCGGCAAUGGACGAAAGUCUGAACGAGCAACGCCGCGGGAGUGAAGAAGGGUUUCGGAUCGUAAAGCUCUGUUGUAAGAGAAGAACGGGUGUGAGAGUGGAAAGUUCACACUGUGACGGUAUCUUACCAGAAAGGGACGGCUAACUACGUG
Molecule: ribosomal RNA, 505 nt
Filed under: uncultured bacterium
Lineage: Bacteria
Description: partial 16S ribosomal RNA
Rfam family: Bacterial small subunit ribosomal RNA
Source: RNAcentral